CAGAGGUAUGGAGAACUUGGUGGCUGGCUCCACCCUUCCUACACUUUUUGCAGAUGAAGAUGGAUCUAAGGAAGGUGGUGAAAUUACUGUAACUGGAUUAGCUCAUUCUGAGAGUUCGUUCAGUGGCGGAACUUCACAGUCUGUGAAUAACCCAGAUUUGGUGGAGGAUUUGUCACAGGUUCAGCAGCUGCAAAAUGAGUCCUCUAAUACUGCUGAAAACACUGAGCAGAAGCCUGAGGAGGAGCAGCAAAGAACUAAACGAGGAGGCUGGGCCAAAGGGAGAAAGAGGAAGAAACCCCUUAGGGACACAAAUGCCCCCAAAUCCCCCCUCACAGGGUAUGUGCGAUUCAUGAACGAGCGUAGGGAACAGCUUCGAGCGAAGAGGCCUGAAGUCCCUUUCCCAGAGAUCACCAGGAUGCUGGGCAAUGAAUGGAGUAAACUGCCUCCUGAGGAGAAACGGCGAUACCUUGAUGAAGCAGACAGAGAUAAGGAGCGUUAUAUGCGGGAGCUGGAGCAGUAUCAGAAGACAGAAGCCUACAAAGUCUUUAGCAGGAAAGCACAGGACAGGCAAAAAGGCAAAUCACACAGACAAGAUGGAGCAAGACAGCCAGCCCAUGAUCAUGAGAAGGAAGCAGAUACAAAGGAGAGAUCUGUUUUUGAUAUUCCAAUCUUCACAGAAGAGUUCCUGAAUCAUAGUAAAGCACGUGAAGCUGAGCUGCGGCAGCUGCGUAAAUCCAACAUGGAGUUUGAAGAGAGAAAUGCUGCUCUGCAGAAACACGUUGAGAGUAUGCGUACAGCAGUGGAGAAAUUGGAGGUAGAUGUGAUACAGGAGCGUAGCCGCAACACGGUGCUGCAACAGCAUCUAGAGACCUUGCGCCAAGCCCUCACAACCAGCUUUGCUGGAGUUCCACUACCAGGUAGCGGCGAAACACCCACGAUGGAAACUAUUGAUUCUUACAUGAAUAGACUGCACAGUAUUAUUAUGGCAAACCCACAGGAGAACGAGAACCUUAUAGCCACAGUCAGAGAUGUGGUAAACAGACUUGAACGCUAGUGACGGGAGGAGAAAAAAAUCCCUCAAAGAUCACGCUUUCUUUGUAUCACAUGAAUGUAUAUACAAUAAUUUGCCAGCCUGAUGGAGACAGAAGUUGAAAUAUGCUUGGAGCAGUUAUAUUCAACCAUAUGUAAGUGCUGGCUCUACCUGGAGCUUAUUUCUCUCACCAGGUGAUUUUUCUAGCAGGUAAUCUUGCUGCUUCCUGCUGUAGGCAGUAUUAAGGAAAAUGUGUCAGAAAAAUUGUCCAAAUGGCUUUAUAUUAGAAGAUUCCAUUUUAGCUAUGCCCGUGGGAGGAAAUGCCUAGAUAUAGUUAAAAAGUUGUAGUUCUCAGGUUUGACGAGCUUGAGUUUUAGGAGCCGGUCUGUAUGCCCAAUUGUGGAAGCACUUGCAUUUACACAUCCUACCCUCGGGUUCUCAAGGGAGACGGUUUCUUUGAUCUUGCUGCGUCUUCCCUGUGUGCAGCUAGUCAAGCAGAGACUGAGGAGAGGAGGUUUUCCUAGUAGAGCUCUGCUUCCAGGAAAAAAGACCCACCACACCUGUAAAUGUUAUUGUUAGAACUAACCAACUAAAUUUCACAUGUGUGGUAGGUUCUCAGUGACCAAAGCCAGGUGUAGCUGUGAAAACAGUGGGAAGGGCUUUUGGCUGUAGUUAAGGAUCUGUACUACCACUAUGUGACAAGGACUGCUCGUUGUAUUGCCUGGGUCUAAUCUGGUGGUGGGGUGGAAUUGCCUGAUCCCUAACCAUCUUCCUUCCAAAUCUGCCUGUAACGUCAGACUGAGACAUCAGUGCUUAGGAGAACAAGGAGUCAUCACAAAUGCAGCUUCCCCUCCAGGUGCCAGGAGCAUAUAUAGUUUUUUUUUUUUCUACAAAAAAACCCCCACAAACCAACCCUUCCUUCUGCAUUAGUGAAUCUACCUAACAAGCCUUACCAUGGGAACUCAUUGCCUGACCCACAGCCAUCUCCAAGAGAAGAGGGCAAUAAAAUGAGUGGGUUGCUGUAACUCCCUGUGCUUCAGAACAACUCUUCAUAAUUCCUUCCCCUUACUGUCCUAAAGACCAAACAGCCUCUUACUCCCGAGUUGGUCCAUUUACGCACUCUAUUCAUGGGAAACCGUUCCCUAUUGCUCCCUACAGAGCCCAGUAAGUUCUAUCUCUGAAAAUCCUUCCUGGUUUUGUUUGUUUGUUUGUGGGUGUGGUGGGUUGUUGUUGUUUAUUUUUUGUGUUGUUUUUUUUGUUUUUUGUUUUUUUUUUUGAAAAAAAUCCUUUCUCCAUCUCUCCCUCUCCUCCUGGUCCUUUGCACCUGGGCUGGCUGUAUCUGUGAAGCUCCCAAAGCCUGUGAGUGAUGCUGUUUGCCUCUGAGUCAGAGAGGCUUUUAAAUCUGGGUGUAAAAUGAGACUCCUACAGCAGUAAACAGAGUGAUCAUAUGCCUCCUUUGAAGUUACCAUUUAAAUAACCUCCAGGGCUUUAGUAAUGCGGGAAGUGAGCAAGAGGAAAUAAUUCCCUCCUUCUCCCCCCUCCCACUCCCCUCUCCAAAGCAGGGAAGAUGAAAAUGAAUUCCCUGGCAGAAGAGGGACACAGGUUUUCGAGGUAUUGCAGAAAAGAUGAACAGCUCUCACUUGCAGCUUAGUUAAUGAGUCAGCUCAUAUUCAUUCAUGGGCGCGAUUUAUUAACCCAUAAACACUGCAGAUGAUGGUGUUAUCACUGUGAUAAACUAAUUUUAAUUUGUUAUGUAAUUUAUUAAGGUAGAUGCUGCAUCAGAGGGAAGCCUGUGUCUGCUCAUGUGUCCAGGGUCCUGGCUUGGUGCUGGGAAGGGAAGAGCGGAUCAGGGAAGCAAAAAGGAGGGGUCUUAGCAGGGCUAUGGAAGCUGACCUGGUUGCAGACCAUUGUUAUUUUUUUGAUGGUUCCCCACCCCUGCGGGUUGUUCCUGGUGCUGCUAAUUCAUGAAAAGGUGGACGUGUUUUCAGGCUGCCAGCUCUUCAUCUGAAUGGAUGCUUGGAUUUUGGCUGAAGGCAGACAGACACACCGUAAAAGCACAAGUGAGCACAUCUGACAGCACCAGAAGGGUGUUCAGAGAUGUGCUGGGAAGGAGGUCAUCCUGUGCUGAAUGGGAUACUGUAAUGUUGGAUGGCAGCGUUGUGUGCUCUUGAGAUUAUAGCAGGACCAUAGCUGUGGGCUGAUGGCAUAUGGCUGCCGAAUAGGAGCAUGGUGUAGCCUUCUGAGACCUUUGUAGUUAAUAUGUGCAGCAAUGAUAUAAUGGGACAGCUUUCCAGUGAGACAGCAGGUUUACCCAGGACUGGAAGGAUUGGGAACUGGGGAGCCUGGAGAAUUAACACUCUCACUUGCCUGGAUAUUAGUUGUUUGCCAGGUAGUUUAACUAGUCAAUAACUAAAUGAGUUCAGUCCUUUGUUAAGUGAUUUAUUAAAUAGUAAGAUUUAUUCAAAUAAUUAAAUAGACUUUAUUAGUGUAGCAUAUUAACUGGAGAAUGCCCUGAAGACAUCUUAGUGUGUGAAGCUUAUCAAGCUGCCCAAGGUUGGUUUCUCCUGGGACCAAAGAUGCAGUGCUUGUGGAUUGCUGUGUUUUCAGGCUGCUCUUAAUCAAGUGUUUGGGGCUUAUCUUUUGUAAGGAGAAAUACACACUUGCCUGGACAUGUUACUAUCCAGUCCUUGACCUGACUGAACAUGUGGAGAGUUUCCAAGGCAAUUAUACCUACACUAAUCAUAAUUUGCUCCUUAAUCUUGGAGUAUUCGUCUCUAUGUCUGUGUUUAUACUAAGCUGCUGAACAAUUUUAUUAGGUGCUUUGAAUAAACUGUUUAAUUGUACCAUAGAUAUUCCUGAUGCAUACAUCAUUUUCGUUACAUAUCACUGCCCAUUGUAGUGGAAUAAUGCUCAGAGGCUGCUAUUAAAAAUGGGGCUCCGUUGUCCUGGAUGUUGUACAGACAUAGUAAGCUGCAGUCUCUGUCCUGGAGAGCACAACAGCCCAUUAUAGCACCCUUAUAACAUAAGUGCCCAAAAUAGUUCCAUAGGUUCCAUAGUGGGAAGGGCCUAGCAGACCCUUUAACGCAUGAAGGCAGCGGUGUUCCUGAAUUCACCUUUGUCCACAUUCUUCCAGCAUUAUCCAUGCUGUGGCUUGUUAGACAGAAUUUUAGGGAAUGAUAAUUUCAGGUGUACUUGGAACUAGUCACUUCUCCUUCCUCUAUGAGCCCUCAUGAGGGUGGAAGAUUAGAGCCAGAUUAUUCUUUUUCAUAUCUGCAGCAUGGGUUUAUGUUUUCUCAAAUGCAUUCUAUUGCAAGCUGAAUUCUUUCCCAGCUUUUUUGUACUUCACCAGAUUCCCUUGACCUUGUGCCAGUCAAUGAUGAAUUGUACAAGUCCCCAUCGAAAACACUGCAGAAGCCAGAGGAAUGCCAGCCUUACUGUGUAGUACAUUAAGUCAAAAUAUUUUAAGCUUAAGACUGAUGGAUGUGAUUGUUCUAUUUCAACCUGCUCCUUCAGAUUAAAAAGCUGCUAAAAGCUUCAGUUUGUCUCGAUGCAUCUGCUGCUUCCUGACCAAGGAAUGGCAUGUCCAGGACUGGGGGCUGUGGGGAGAAGGAUGAUAUUUUGUGAUAAAUGUAUCUGAUGGUGUUUUAUGUUCAGGAAGUUUUUUAAAACCUUCUACAGCAAAUGAUCAAUCUGUUAGCAUCUCACACUCCUUUGACUUUGAGGAACAAGUUGUCUAAGAAGACCAUAGACCUCUAAUACGUGCAGAGUCGCUUUUUGCUUAUGCCUCUUUCUUGCCUUCACCUCUGCUGCGCUGUUACUGUGUUAGAUUUGCUAUAACUGCCGAGUAUCAUUCUGUAAUAUGUUUUUUAUCGGAUCUCUUUUUAAUUCUGUAACGCUUUUUACAGUUUUGUGGCUAUAUGAUUAAAUCUGCAAAGCAUUUAUAUGAAAAACUAUAAAAUAACAGAUUAUUGUUAUUUUUCAUUUGCCCUGCAUUCAGUUUUCAGUGUCGAAGGCUCAAUGAGCCACAUUCUGUGGUGAUGGGAAUCAGUGGUGGUGUUGAGGUGACUGAUUUGAAUUUAAUGGUAUAAGAAUAUGAGGAUUUCCUGUGUAAACUGAAAGGCUGGAAACAUGCUCAAAGACAUAGCUGGAAGAGCCAGUCUGUAAAACCUUUGAGAUGAUGAAAAGGCAUAAAUAUCAGGCUUCUUCCUGUCAGACUCUGUGAUCUGUCACAGCACCAGUGGCAGAAGCAGGAGAGACGCAGAGGCUACAAAAGGCAACUCUUACUUCUGGAAAUGGCUGGUGGGAUUUAGAACUGGUUUUAGCUCGCAUGAAAUUUUGGGACUGAGGCCAAGCACUAUUUUUGGAAUUUGAGGUUGACCCAUGGCUAGGAUUGAGGGCUUGAGUUUGAUUUAGUUUAAAUCUGAGGCUGAACUUAGUUGACAUCUACUGGUUGGAUUCUAGGAAAUCAAGAGAAGCUUCAUUGACCGUGAAAUUCAGUUUUCAAAUACUGUUGAGAAAUAAAAUAUAUUUGAGCCAUGUUGCAACAACAAAAUGAGAACCCAAACUGGUGACACUUAGGCCUGACCUCAACACCCUCAUUUCUCCUGCAUUUUGGAAUCUGAGGGGCUGGGGGGCGGGGGCAGAGAAGAGAAGAUGAUGUCUCGUGAAUAGAAAUUCAAUUGGUUUAAUAUACAGACUAUUUUGCUGCAGUCUAACUGAAGGCUCUUAUUAGGAAUCUGAUGGCACUUCUAAACAGGGAGAGCUGCUCCCGUAGUGGGGGCAAUCUCCAAUCAUACGCCAACAUUGCUUUUGACGUAUUUAUGACUCCAAUAAAAUCUCCCAUCUGGUAUAUUUUAAAAUAAAAUUGAAAAUUUAUCACUUUCCUUUAGUUGGUUUGUCGUUCUCCCUGAGAGAAGAUAGCCAGGCUGAGAUUAUUGCAUCGGCAGCCUGUCAGCUGAGGUUAGGCUGAGGUGUGAUUUAAAUUUCAAUACUUUCUGCAUUACAGCUGUCUGGGGUGGUGAAAUUACAAGGAGAAAAGCAGAGAGUCUGUUAUUUUUAUUCAUUAGUCUCUCUUGAUUUGUUUUGUUUUUCUUUUGGAUAGUUCUACUCACCACAUAAGGCACCUGCGGAAAAAAAAGAUAUUCCCUGUUUUUCUGGAUUUCCGUGUUUGCUUGGUCAGAAGCACUUGGGAGGGGAUGAAGCAGAACCGGAAUGUGUCUUCCCCUUUGCUCUCUACCAUUAGGCUGGACUGUGGUAGCAGGAAGAGAUCCAGCUCCGUAUGAGGUACCAUGCAAGUUUAUAGCAUUUGUAGGGCCUGUCUUAAAGAGACUGCAUUUUUUUGUAGAGCAGAUCUGAGGAAGCAGUGUUGAUUCUGAUUUCCGUGAUGAAGGACCAAGGGAGAUAUGUUGGUGGCAUUUUGUGUCACUUAAUGUGGACAGCUGUGUGUAAGCAAAUCUAGAUGUCAUCACAAUAGAGAGAAACGGGCAUUUCUGGAAGUAGGAGCAAACACACCGUGGAUGUGCCUGGCUGUUUCUAGGCCUUUAUGAUGAGUUUAGGUCAGGCACUUUUCAACAGUCUGCAACAGGUGAAACUGAUCACCUGCCACAGGAUUUCUUUGGUGUCCAUAGAUAGCUGAAGUGGGUCUGGAACUUGAAACUACUGAAGCUGAGUCUAGUGCUUUAGCUGCAGGCCAGGAUCUGGCCCCCAGGGGAUCACUGGGAUUUCACAUUUAGUGAGUAGUAGACAGAAACUGUGGAAUACGGGUGACAUGUGAAUAAGUGCUUCGUCGCAAAAUUGUCUGCAAAGCUUUCUGAAGUGGAAGGCUGUCUCCAGGCCUUAGGGGGCCCAGGCAUUCAGCAGUGUGUUCUGCCUCAUGCUUGUGAUUAAUGUUGGAGUCAUGCUUGGCUGGCUGGUCUGGCAUUGCCCACUGAUGCAUUUGAUUAGGUGCGUUUGUUUCUGGUUAGAUACUCAAUCAUCUGACUGUAAAAAUUAUCAGAGGUCUUAUCUGGGCAAUAUAGGUGAGUAAAAUGCCUUUAUCUUCCACCUCCUGCUUCAUUGCUCAGGUUGUGCCUUGAGCUACACUGGAGCUUGUGACUGAUGCCUUCCACGGUAGUUGUACAGGUAGUUGUAUAGGUAGUAAGGUGGGAGGGCACAGUGGUUGUGAAGAUGUCCAUGUGAAGGUUGCAGUAGUUUACCCCCAUAAGCUGGAAUUAUGGGUCCCCCAAGUGGGGAAAGAAUGGGAGAAGUGCAAAUGAAUCUCCAAAUCAUCUCUUGAGUGGUGCAGCAGCAUGGCAGCCCUGACACAGCAGCUGAUACGGGUACAGUCUGGCUCUGGGGAGUUAGAUCCAGCAAUGCAGGUGUGUACUCCGGGAGAAGAUUAUACCUUACACGUGGUUUAUGAACUAUAGGUAUUGAAACUACGUGGGGCCAACUGGGACCUCAGACCCACUGUUCUGUGUGCUGUGGUAUGCUCUGAACGACAGCGUGUAGUUCAGGGCAUUAGACUUAAGUGCAGCCUUAAUUUAAGACAGAAGAAUUAUUUUCUGUGGAGCACAUAUACAACUUUUAUGCAUGAGCUGUGCAUUUGGGUAUUUGUGCAGUGUGCUUCUCAUUUCUGAAGUGUGCAUUUUGGGCUCCUUAUUAUGUGCAAUGGGCUUUUGUUCUUCUGAUAUAUAUCUGUACAGGUGAACAUAUGGUUAAGGAUCUGCCUGUGCGCAUUUUAGCACAACAUUAGUGUAUGGAUAAGUCUUUUGGGAAUACUGUGUUUGUUUAUGGGGUUGUGCUUUUACCAGCAUACAUUUUGUACCUGUACAGUGCAUAUGUGUGUGUCAUUUCAUUCAAUUGUUUUCCUGUUUUCUUGACCGAACAAUUAAGGGUGUUUUUUGAGUGUAUCAGAUAUAUUAUUUCCUUUCACAGCAGUUGUACAUUUGCUAAUGCCAAAUUUAUUCUAAAUGGAUAUACAGAUGCAGUGGUUGAUUUGGUAGACCUAAAUCUUUGUUACACAGGAUGAAUGGAUGUUUUGUUUGCAUGCUCAAUGUAUGUAUAUUCCCUUAGUACCCAUGCUUGUUUGUUGUCUAUAGAAACAAGAGGUGCUUUGCACUGAUAUAACCUGUGCCUUCCUUAGGUGCUGUAAAGUGUGUUUGUGAAGGUGAGGAUUAUAGCAUGUGUGUGCUCAGUGUGUAGUAAAAGUGUGGUUUAUGUCUAAAAAUCAGUGUGCUCGGUUUUAUAUUUGUGCAGUGUAAGCACAUAUUUUCCUGCACUUGCUGGCAGAGUUACAGAAGUAUUGAGUCUUCAUUUUGUUAAAAUAACAGAAGAGUUGUCCACAUAUUUUCUAAUUUUGUAAAAUGUCCUCCAGCUUCCAUGGUUUAAAUUUCUAAGAGGCUGUCCAAGUAAUAUAUGUCAAAAUAUCAGGAAGGAUAUUUAAGCAGUUAUGUCAGUGGAAUGGAACAAAGUAAUGAGUUAAUGUUUUUCUGAUGCUAUAUAAAAGGGAAAAUGGUGAAGAAGAACCGCAAGUAAAAUACAAAGUGAACAAGAUCAGCCAAGGUAAAGUCAGGAGGUUUGUUCUUAAAUUGCAGACAGCUACAGCAAAAGAAUUCACAUGACUGUAUUUCUAUUUUAUGCCAUCCUGUGAUCAUACCAUCCUGUCCCAGAUGUCACACCCUCUGGGGUCAGUCCCCAGGAACCAGGAAAGGUGAUGUAGUCCUCCUAACCUUGUUGCUUCCUCUUGGAUGUCCUGUCAGUUGCUUUGAAAGUGAGUCAAGGCCUUCAUUAUCUCACUAUUUCUUUUCAAUGACAUUUUAAAAGACCUGACACAGAGUAGCAAUGAUUGAAGUGCCUGCUGCUUUUCUCUGUAAUUAUACAGUUUCCUUAUUGGGACUGAAAUUAUUGCCCUGCAAGAGCGCAACCUCUCUAUUGCCACGCAAGCCAAACACAAACCUGCCUGGCUGCAACCAGCACCAUUCCACAUAUACAGACAUGAAAAUUCUUUUCCUUGGCUGCUGGGCUGUACGAUGAAGUAUGUGACCCAGAUUGGAGCGGUGGAGCUGGAGGGAAGGUGGUGGGUGGCUGGACAGGAAAAGGGGAGAGAAGGAGCACAGUGAAAGAAGACAGGUUUGUCUUUUUUUCUGCAUCUCUUCUAAUGGUAACAGUAGUACACUGAAACAAGGCAUUAUGGUCCAUGACUUGUAAUUAGUCCUCAAACAGCCUUUGCUACAUAUUGUCCGACUGAAGGCCUUGCCUGUAGCCUGUGGUAGGAGUAAGAGAGCACAGCCAGGAGGACAAAUGAACAAAAAUGGGAAAAAUGAAGAGUGGGUUGAAGUCAGAGGAGUAAAAUGAUGGUUGAGGAAAACUCUCGCUCAGUGGUGAAGUGUCUUCUGCAGUGUUUGCUUUUUAGAAGGUAUUCAAGUAUUGUCUGAAGCUAUUGCCAAAGCAAACUGAAUCUAGAGAUACACAGAAACACAAACUGGGAUCAGUUGAAGCUUUCUCAAUCUUUUAGCACAAGGCAGGAAUGUGCCAGGCAUGGUGUGAAACACCAGAGGGAGCUGACAGAGAUUCCUGGAGGUAUUAAUUUCCUAGCUGCUAUUUUGUCAUCAAAUGCUGAAAAGUCAACAAAUAACUAGCCUUGAUGCUCAAGGACUGUCCUUCUGCAGUCUGCCAAGUUCCUUGUCUCCACCUGAACUGUAAAUUCACCUCCAGUAUAGAUGCUGGAGUGUUAGUGGAUGUGCAAGGUGAGAGAAAGAGGGAAAGAACAGGAGGAUUAGGCUGAAGGUUCAAUGAAGUAAAGGACUUCCACACUCUGGGAGCUUGCAAGCUCUCUGUAAUAAGGAAGGAGGCAAAAAGAGACCCUGUGUAGCCUCUGAUGGAUAAAUCCCAUCUCAGCCUACAGGGUGUCAUGGAGCUCAGCUCGCAUCCCAGCUGCCUGACCCUCCCUUCCCUCCGCAGCACAUGCUGCCUCUCCCCUGCCCCCUCUCCCUCCAGCUCCUUGUGACAGGCUUCAUAUCCUGGGACCCCGACACUGGAAUGGCAUUUUUGUCUGGCUGGAAUUGUUUAUAAGCACAGAGCUUUGAUGCUGUCUCCAAGGCCUCUGGAGAGCUGAGAAGGGCUAUUUUUCAUGCGAUGCUUUUGGAGAAUGCUAUGGGAAAAGGUCAAGGGACAGAGUGGGAACGAGUAGGUCACAUACUCAUUGGUUUAGGGCACCACGACAACAUUGGUUCUUUAAGAUCUCAGAGCCUGCUUUGUAAAAAUAAGCACCUCUCACUGAGCUGCCUGGGAAAGAACAGGGGCACGCCUCCUGCAAGCGGAUGUUCGCUGCGUUCCUCCGGGUUUGUUCUCUUGCUUUGGCAAUUGCUGCAUCUCAGCGUCCCUGUGAACCAGACAGAUCCCUCAAAUAGCAUGCAGCAUUUUAAAAAGCCUCUUUGCUUACUGCUUUGGCCUUUAUAAUACAAGGAGAAGCUCUGUGAGAGCAGGGUUAGCCCUCUGCACCUGACACAGAUGGUUGCUGUAGUGGGCUCUGGGAGCAGUGCUGCAGGAUUCCUUAGUCCGUUGCCGUGUCACCAUGCUAUGUCUGCGGGCAAAAAAAAACCAGGGCUGAACAGCUAUUUGACCUUUGUUUUUUACAUGUUAUUUUUGCUCAUUUAAAUUGGGGGGCGGGGGGGGAGCAGUCUAACAAGGAUUGUCCUUUUUCCUUUCUUCCUCCCUGACGCACACAUACUACAGAUAUCAGCCGGAGCGUGGGGAGUGUGUGAAGGAACAGGAAGCAGAGGGGUGAGGUGGCAAGUCAUUUACAUUGGAAAUGUAAGCUGAAUGUGCAUUUCCCUUCUCUUCUGCCAUCAAUCACUCAGAUUUCCUGUACACUACGGAAUAGAAGAGUGGAGUUUGCUCGCUUCCCACUUCCCCCGGGAAUGGAAACCCUCAUUUGUUUCACUGUCUAGAAAUGCUGAUCACUCAAAACAUUUAUUGUUUCAGAGACACAUGCAGUUCUGAAGCUGAACUUUUCAGCUUCCUAUCUGGUCUUCAGAAAUGUCCUCAGCUUUCCUGCAGACCUGGAGAAUUACUCUGCUGUUGUUCUAGCUCUGUUAGAGAUGUAAAGGUGCUGCCACAGUAGCAUAGAAAAGCCCAUGGCCAGCUAGGCAGGUGCUUUACUGCAGAGCACUGGCUAAACCCCUCUGUUUUCCAUCAAACCAGUUGCUUUAACUUGUUCAUGUGACAUGGCACCUGAUAGAGUGGGGUCAUGUUUUCAGAGGUCCAAGUCCUGCUUGUCAUUGGAAACCUUUUAGUGACUAUUUUAUGGGGCUAACAAAUCUGUUGAGAGAAAAUUACAGUGCGAGUUAUGUGGAAUAGACAGACCAGCGUGUGUUUGCUGUUUAUCUCUAUUGGAAGGGAUGGGGGUAGUAGUAGAAACAGAGUGUGGGACUGGGAAGCAAAUAGGAAAAGAAGAGCAGAAAUAGAAGGAAGGAAUAGGACAAACCGGGAAGUGAAUGACAAGUCUGUCUCUUUCUAUAGUAGAAAUAAAAUAAGUAUGGAAGAAUUCAGAUAGCCUUGCCUACUGAAGAGGCACAAUAGAACAUGCCCAGCUGUGUGUUGGUUCAGCUUGUGAUAAUGCUAAGGUCUGGCAUACUGCUGUGGUUUUCAGAUGGUAUCUGAUCUCAUUCAACAGCCUCUCAUUAGCCAAAUUCUGGUACUGCAGAGGAGGUGCUGACUUAAUUCCUACAUGUGGGCACUCGGGCUAUGGACAAUUUGGGACUCAUGGAUAAACAAAGGGAUGGGGCACCAUAAGACUCCUGUGUGACUUCAGCAGCCCUUGUUUGGUUAUGGCAUGGUGUCUGUGAAGCUGAGAUCUGUCUGGGGCUGGGAUGUUGUUAGUAUUCAAUUUAGUUGCUGUAGUGAAGAGGCUGAUGAGGCACCAUGUCCUUGAAGCACAGUCAUGGCCAGGAAACUUCUCCUGGCUGUGGGGGUCUGGCGCCCCAUUCCCUGGGGUGUGAGCUCAGCAGCUUUUAUCAGCUCAGCCCUUGUGGCUCUGGGCAGUAACUCCCAGGGGUGACCUGUCGGGAGAACCCAAGGGCUGGAAGGAAAUGCUGCUGAUGACUCAAUAGGCAGAGCUCUUCCCUCUGUUGAUGUUGGAGCUGAGCCACACAGACACAUCCCUCUGUAAUUAUCUACUAGUUACUUAUAAUUCAUGUCUUGUAACCACUGACAUUCUCGUUUGUUGUCCAUGCAUCCAGACAUGCAAGGCCAUACCAUGUUGUAUUGUGCUGAUGCUUACAGCCACCAAGAAGCAAGGAAGUGUUUGACCCUAGAAUGAGGCAUGUUUAGCCCAUGUGUGCACAUCUCGGGCAUGUGCAGAUGUCAUGACUGUGCAGACAGAUCAUGGCCGGUGUUCAUUGCUGUGUUCUGCUGCCCAGGAAAGGUUGUGUGUGGGAUUGCAUGCACAUAAAAACCCAGAAAGAUGCGUCAUUAACCACUUGCUUCAAGACCGAUUCCCAGCCAUCUGCUGCCUCACCAGCUGCUCACAGUGCAGCUCAAAACUUAUCUCCAUUCAGGAGCUCAGACCCCCAGGAAGGGCAGGGGUGGUGGGCUUGAAGUUGCAUAACUGACCUCCCAUGCACUGUCUGUGGGACACAGACCCAGACCUGCUGCCAGACUCUACAGAGAUGGGGAAUAAAUGCAGGGAAAGGGUAGAAGAAGUGAAGUUCAAAUAUGCGGUGCCAACCGGUCACUGCCUUCCAAAUCAACAGCAGUGGCCAUCCUGGCAAGGAAAACCACAUGAAGUGACCCACUGUGGAGUACUAACAACUACUGAAAAAGGAGGGCAUUGGCCUCAGCUUCCACAAGGCACCGACAGCAUUCAAGCCCAAGUCUUCCCACCAUCCACAGCCCUUGGGGUGUUGACCAGCCACACCGAGUGGACGAGAGAGAAGAAGAUGGUGAACCACUGAGAAGGCAGUGCCCAAACCGGCAGCCCCAGCAUCUCUGAGAGAGCCGCCUGCUUGCUUCAGUGCUUGGCCAGCCGUGGAGCUCUGGGGAGGAGCUGGCUUUAGUGGCAGUGACACGAAGAGAAAAAGCCAGAAAGUACCUGUCUAAGGGCUUAGUGGUGACACUGGAGCUCUGCUGAGAGCGGCCAGCCUGGUCCCCACCACACAGAGUGGCUGGUCCCCAAGCUGGGUGCUCAUCUUCCCACCCGAUCAGAGCCGGUUCUUUCGGAGAGAGCCGCCACAGACAAGGGACAUGAUGAAAUCUCCGGAGGGGCUGGAGUUACCCGCUGCCUGGUGAUGAGGAGCUGAGACAGAGCAGCCGACAGGGACCCGCAGCUGCCACCCUGCUCACCCCAGGCUGGGUCUGUCGUGACCCUCAGCACCGGAGGCUGCUGGGAAACUCUGCUUGGAAACCUCAGGAUGGGAACAAGCUGCAGUGACAGAGGGAGCUGUGUUUUACUUGAGUUUGUAUUGUUCCUCCGGUCCUUUGCUCAGGUGAAGGUGCCGGUGACAACCCCGGCCUGCGCUGUUCUACGUGCUCUGGCCAUCCGGGGAGAGGAGCUGAGCGGACACAGGGGUUGAUGAGGAGGGUCAGGGAUCAGCAGGUAUGAAUGUCUCUCGCACAGGGUGCUGGUAACUCUGCUCCCGCCCCAGUGGAAGGGGACAGCUGGGUGCCAGCCAGCCACAGCCCGCAGUGGGGGAGGUGUGGAGCCUGGUGGGGAGGGAGCUGUCUGGGGAGGGUGAUGCACCCAGGCUGGAAGUGCUGAAGAACCCCUCGUCCUCCUCCCAAUGCACGGUGUCUGUCACGGAGAUCCCCACGGCGCUCCCAUCAGUCUUAGAAGCAGGGGAGCUGAGGUACGUUUCACACACAUCCUCCCCUCCUUGCCCUAAACACACCUCUUCCUGGGUUGCUACCUCUUUUAAGCUAUUUUAUUAAGUGUUUUUCAUUUAUCCUUAUGAAAAAAAAGCAUACCACUAAGUGCUGUCUGGCUCUGACACAUAGCCCACAGUUACCUGAAGAGCAAUGCUGGAAACCAGCCCCUGCUCUCUCACCCCUGAUUAAGCUGCAAAAGAAAUACACUUUAAAGUUCAGUAAAGUGUUUAUUCUUUAGGGUUUUUUUCCCCAUCUUUACCCACCGUGAGAAUUGCUGAGCUGAGAUGCUGGCCACUUUGAGAUGCUCUUCUUAUGUUCCAUCCAUCUGCUUUAAGCACACAGUGAGUGAAAAGAAAUAUUAUCCAGUUCACAAAGCACCAAAGAUUAAAAAAUCAGUGCGGAUAAUAAACUGUGUGGCAGGCAGCAGUGCCACAGAGCGUGGGGCAAACUUGCUAAUGAGGGACUUGGAGCCACAGGUUGGAUGCAGGGCCGGCAGCGUGGCCUCACGCCGGGAGGGCUUUGAGCACAGAGGUGGGUCUGGGGACACGUGUGGGUCUGGGUGGCCGGCCCCAGGCUGGGAAAUAUCCUGCACUAGCACAGCCCGAGACGUUACGCAGAAAAGAAACAAUUUUCUCUCUUCUUUUCUUUUUUCAAAGCUUCUUUUUAACAGUGAAAGGCUUGAUUCCUCCCUUUCAUUGCUGGGAUGCUGUAGUCUGCUGCAAAUACCUUGCUGGACUUGAUUAUGAGUAUGUUUUUUUAAAAAUCUGUGUGUGUUGACUUAGCUCUUUUAGCUCUUUUAAUCACAGCAUUAAAAAAGGAUAACUGGAGUCAAUUAAGAAGCUCUUUCAGGUUGCCAGUGUUAACAGCUGUCCAGGAACAUGGAGACCCCUCCACCUCUCUGCCGCCUCUUAACUGCUGAUUGUCAGUGCUGGCAACAAGGCUCCAGCUGAGAUUUCUGCACCUCUCGUGCCACUGCAAGCGGCUUUUUCGGCUGCACAUCUUCCUCCGGAGGGCUGAGGCCUCGGCGCAUCCCGGCCUCUCCCAGGGGAGCGCCGCUCCAAACCCGUGCAGGUGGAGCCGAGAGCACCUGCCUUCAGCUUCAGGUACGGUUUGGGUGGUGCUGUUUGUGGCUUUGUAUUUAGCUCCCUGAAAAUGUUGGUUAAACACUGGUGGGAAGGGAAGCUUUCAAAGAAGCAUUUUGCUUUGGCUCUUUUAAAAAGUAAAUCAAGAGCAAAAGGCUUUUAAAAAUAAUGUUUUGGUUUCAAAGUUAUAAAAGAAAGAUGAGUUAGAGAUGAGAAACUAACAAAUCAAAGCUCCUGAAACCCGCUGCGGAGAAAGAAACACAAAAUGCUUUGUUUGAAGAUGAAUGGAAAGCUGAAACCAGCAAAAACACGCACCCUCCCCACCAGCACAGAUGUUGCAGGUUGGUUCUUCUAGAUUGGCACAUUGCUGGAAGAAAAGCAAAUCCAUUCUUUUCCCUGUUGGCGCUGCAGGUUCCUGUAGCUUAUUUUGUUAUAGUCUCGUAGUGACUUUGAUCCCUUGAAGACUCCUUAAGUGCUUUACAAAUCAAGCAUGCAAAUCUCUCCUCGGCCACCUUGGCGAUGCCGCUGAGGCUGGGUGGGCAAGGAGCCGAUCCUGGUGGCAGCCAGGAAGGAUGGGAAUCACCCGCUGCUUCAGGAACACUUAUGAAAACCUUUAGUGCCCGUAUUACCAGUGUUUGCAGGGAUGUUUUGUGCUUCCGGCACAGUCAAAGGCCAUCACCCUGUGCUGGCGUCCCAGGGCACUGAACCAGGCCUGUUUCUCCCAUGGAAAGGCCCUGUGAGGGGGUUGGCCUUGGCCUGCACCCCACUCUGUGCCUUCUGGGGGUGGGAAGGUGGCACAAACCAACUGGGGAUGUGCUGAGCUGCUCUGAUGAUGCUGCUCGUAUUUUCAAAGCUUGACUUGAGGCAUCUCUUUCCCCAUGACUCUGUCUCUUAAUUUCACAUUCUCCUCUCCCGUUGCCCUCCUGACUUGCGCUUUUUGACUCAUUUGCUGUACGACACCACGCUUUCUGUAGCCUGUGCUGUGUCUCACUGCUGCAGGUCACUCUGCUGUCAGGGCAGGGUGGCACUGUCACACUGCUCCUGCACGGGGCCCGGUUAUCCCACAUUCCUCCCCGGCUCCUCCUGGACACAACACAAGCCUCCCAGAUCUCCCGCACGCAGAGCUGAGCAAAGAGACAUCGCUGUGUGGUGACCACACUCCAUGGUGAGGGCAGGCAGCGCCAUGCAGCCUGCACCACUGUGCCUGUUCUCUGCCUCGGGGUGGGUGGCGGUGUGGGUGUGUGCGUGUCCCUGCACAUCUGUGUGCAUGUCUGCAUGAGUGGUGGAUGCACUUGACACGCCCCCUCCCCCCCCCAGCCAAACCAGCAGCAGUUUGGCACAGACUCGUGUGUGCAUGUAUAGCCCUUUGGCCACAGAUAUAAUACACAGAAUCCUUGACCUGUUUUCCCUUACCCUCUUUGUCUCUUAGACUUGAACCGUCGGUCAAGUCUGGGGCUAAGUUUGGACCCAGCCGCACCUAGGCUCCUCUCUGAGAAGGAGUUUAGAAAGCAAGGGGGUCCAUUCUGAACCCUGUGACUCAACGGGAGGUGCUCCGCUGCCCUUUCAUGUCUCCUGUCCCCAGAAGAAUCGCUUUGGAAUAGCUGCCACCCGGCUCUGCUCAGCGCGUUUCCCCCAGGUAGUAAGAAAUAAAGUGACUCUUCCAUCCAACUCCGUGGAGUUGCACUUGUCUAGUUUUACCUGACACCAGAGUCCAUCAGGCAAAGUCCUUACAAACACAGGAGUCCUGAAGACAUCGGCUGAAUGUUUUCCUGGUAUAAAGAAGAAGAGGAGGAGAAAGAGGUGGUGACAGUGCGGGUGCAAGUGGGCUUGGACGGGGGUGGAGGGUGUGGUGGAAGGAGAGAGGUCGGUAUGUUUGUAGCAAUGUUUGGUUCUUUUAAAUUAUUUAUUUGUUCAUUUGUUCUUUAAAAAAAAAUAAAACACCCACCGUUAUUAUUUGCAAA
This is an RNA transcript of Columba livia (rock pigeon), 16916 nucleotides long. It is a transcript of the gene named high mobility group 20A, with no coding region annotated. The transcript is spliced from 17 exons. The record is from RefSeq and is a predicted model, not a curated record. NCBI's taxonomy places the organism in Eukaryota, Metazoa, Chordata, Aves, Columbiformes, Columbidae.